UCCUUCAUUUAUUGGGUUCACAAUAGACAA
RNAcentral lists this non-coding RNA (30 nucleotides) under Mus musculus (house mouse). The record is from RNAcentral. Lineage: Eukaryota; Metazoa; Chordata; Mammalia; Rodentia; Muridae.